This 170-nucleotide ribosomal RNA is filed under the name Dinophyceae sp. R477. RNAcentral describes it as "partial 18S ribosomal RNA". It matches the Rfam family "Eukaryotic small subunit ribosomal RNA", at positions 490 to 661 of the family's 1831-position model. Lineage: Eukaryota; Dinophyceae. The record is from RNAcentral.
GCAUUAAUGUCUUGUAAUUGGAAUGAGUAGAAUUUAAAUCCCUUUACUAGUAUCAAUUGGAGGGCAAGUCUGGUGCCAGCAGCCGCGGUAAUUCCAGCUCCAAUAGCGUAUAUUAAAGUUGUUGCGGUUAAAAAGCUCGUAGUUGGAUUUCUGCUGAGGACGACCGGUCU